Molecule: ribosomal RNA, 465 nt
Filed under: Flavobacterium sp. IsoD3
Lineage: Bacteria; Pseudomonadati; Bacteroidota; Flavobacteriia; Flavobacteriales; Flavobacteriaceae
Also listed under: 1 other name
Description: bacterial SSU rRNA
Rfam family: Bacterial small subunit ribosomal RNA
Source: RNAcentral
UAACACAUGCAAGUCGAGGGGUAGAAUAGCAAUAUUUGAGACCGGCGCACGGGUGCGUAACGCGUAUGCAAUCUACCUUUUACAGAGGGAUAGCCCAGAGAAAUUUGGAUUAAUACCUCAUAGUAUAGUGAGUUGGCAUCAACACACUAUUAAAGUCACAACGGUAAAAGAUGAGCAUGCGUCCCAUUAGCUAGUUGGUAAGGUAACGGCUUACCAAGGCAACGAUGGGUAGGGGUCCUGAGAGGGAGAUCCCCCACACUGGUACUGAGACACGGACCAGACUCCUACGGGAGGCAGCAGUGAGGAAUAUUGGUCAAUGGGCGCAAGCCUGAACCAGCCAUGCCGCGUGCAGGAUGACGGUCCUAUGGAUUGUAAACUGCUUUUGCACAGGAAGAAACACUCGGUCGUGACCGAGCUUGACGGUACUGUGAGAAUAAGGAUCGGCUAACUCCGUGCCAGCAGCCG